GGAUGUGAGGGCGAUCUGGCUGCGACAUCUGUCACCCCAUUUAUCGCCAGGGUUGAUUCGGCUGAUCUGGCUGGCUAGGCGGGUGUCCCCUUCCUCCCUCACCGCUCCAUGUGCAUCCCUCUCGAAGCUGUGCUCUCAGUCGAAGAGGACGACCUUCCCCAAUAGAGGAGGACGGUUCUUUGGUCAAGGGUAUACGAGUAGCUGCGCUCCCCUGCUAGAACCGCCAAACAAGCUCUCAAAUAUGUGGCUAGGUAAUAGCCUUGGCCCAAAUUCUUACUGAUCACCCUAUUUCACUCUGAUUUCAGAAGGUCUUAUG
Unclassified non-coding RNA from Ursus americanus (American black bear), 316 nucleotides. Its record names the gene 7SK. It matches the Rfam family "7SK RNA". Rfam says of the family: 7SK was discovered as an abundant small nuclear RNA in the mid-70s but a possible function has only recently been suggested. Two independent studies have found that 7SK RNA binds the CDK9/cyclin T complex (known as elongation factor P-TEFb). P-TEFb activates transcription by phosphorylating the C-terminal domain of RNA polymerase II. The record is from Ensembl. Lineage: Eukaryota; Metazoa; Chordata; Mammalia; Carnivora; Ursidae.